RNAcentral lists this ribosomal RNA (497 nucleotides) under uncultured bacterium. RNAcentral describes it as "partial 16S ribosomal RNA". It matches the Rfam family "Bacterial small subunit ribosomal RNA", at positions 28 to 507 of the family's 1533-position model. The record is from RNAcentral.
GAUGAACGCUGGCGGCGUGCCUAAUACAUGCAAGUCGAGCGAACGGACGAUAAGCUUGCUUCUCUGAUGUUAGCGGCGGACGGGUGAGUAACACGUGGAUAACCUACCUAUCAGACUGGGAUAACUUCGGGAAACCGUAGCUAAUACCGGAUAAUCUUUUGAACCGCAUGGUUCAAAAGUGAAAGACGGUCUUGCUGUCACUUAUAGAUGGAUCCGCGCUGCAUUAGCUAGUUGGUAAGGUCACGGCUUACCAAGGCAACGAUGCAUAGCCGACCGGAGAGGGUGGUAGGCCACACGGGAACUGAGACACGGUCCAGACUACUACGGGAGGCAGCAGUAGGGAAUGUUCCGCAGUGGGGGAAAGCCUGACGGAGCAACGCCGCGUGAGUGAUGAAGGUGUUCGGAUCGUAAAACUCUGUUAUUAGGGAAGAACAUAUGUGUAAGUAACUGUGCACAUAUUGACGGUACCUAAUCAGAAAGCCACGGCUAACUACGUG